Molecule: ribosomal RNA, 527 nt
Filed under: uncultured bacterium
Lineage: Bacteria
Description: bacterial SSU rRNA
Rfam family: Bacterial small subunit ribosomal RNA
Source: RNAcentral
AUACCGGAUGGCAUAAUUAUUCCGCAUGGGAUAAUUAUUAAAGAAUUUCGGUUGUCGAUGGGGAUGCGUUCCAUUAGGCAGUUGGCGGGGUAACGGCCCACCAAACCUACGAUGGAUAGGGGUUCUGAGAGGAAGGUCCCCCACAUUGGAACUGAGACACGGUCCAAACUCCUACGGGAGGCAGCAGUGAGGAAUAUUGGUCAAUGGACGAGAGUCUGAACCAGCCAAGUAGCGUGAAGGAUGACUGCCCUAUGGGUUGUAAACUUCUUUUAUACGGGAAUAAAGUGAGCCACGUGUGGCUUUUUGUAUGUACCGUAUGAAUAAGGAUCGGCCAACUCCGUGCCAGCAGCCGCGGUAAUACGGAGGAUCCGAGCGUUAUCCGGAUUUAUUGGGUUUAAAGGGAGCGUAGGCGGGUUGUUAAGUCAGUUGUGAAAGUUUGCGGCUCAACCGUAAAAUUGCAGUUGAUACUGGCGACCUUGAGUGCAACAGAGGUAGGCGGAAUUCGUGGUGUAGCGGUGAAAUGCUUA